CACGUCUGUCUUCUCUAUUGAUGGAGUAAUAGAAUCUGUCCAUCAGCUGAGAGACAAACUGGAAGAGUUUUGCAAAGAGGAGCUCAAGAAGAUCUCAAACAGAGUCAUAUUUGGCAAUGUUGUUUGCAGGACCAGGAAACACUUCCUACAAUAUUCCCAUCAGCUCACUUUGGAUUCAAACACAAUAAAUAAAUAUCUCCGUCUGUCUGAGAGGAACAGAGUAAUUUCUGGUACUCUCACAGAGCAGAAGUAUCCUGAUCAUCCAGACAGAUUUGAUGGAUAUAAUCUUCAGGUGUUGUGUAGAGAGAGAGUGUGUGUGGACGCUGUUACUGGGAGAUUUGAGUGGAGUGGGAUGUUUGGUGUGGACAUAUCAGUGUCAUAUAAGAGCAUCAGCAGGAAGGGAUGGGGUGAUGAGUGUUGGUUUGGAUAUAAUGAUCAGUCCUGGAGUUUGUUCUGCUCUCCUGACAGUUACUCAUUCAGACACAAUAACAUAAAGACUGUUCUUCCUGU
Cyprinus carpio (common carp) is the source of this 510-nucleotide long non-coding RNA. RefSeq lists it as uncharacterized. The transcript is spliced from 3 exons. Lineage: Eukaryota; Metazoa; Chordata; Actinopteri; Cypriniformes; Cyprinidae. The record is from RefSeq and is a predicted model, not a curated record.